CACGCGUUUGCUCAGUUAGCCAGGUUUCUCAAGAACUCAAACGACUCGCUUCGAUUUCUUCCAAACAAACAGCACCUUCUUCUUCUUCUGAUGCUGCUGCUGCUGCAAGAAGACGACACUACGAUAGGACUAAGUCCGCAGCUUCGAGUGCUCUCAAGGGACUUAAGUUCGUCACUAAGGGUGGCGGCGGUGGUGGUGGCGGUGUCGGUGGUGC
This is a non-coding RNA of Arachis ipaensis, 214 nucleotides long. The record is from RefSeq and is a predicted model, not a curated record. NCBI's taxonomy places the organism in Eukaryota, Viridiplantae, Streptophyta, Magnoliopsida, Fabales, Fabaceae.